This 490-nucleotide ribosomal RNA is filed under the name uncultured bacterium. Its description in RNAcentral is "partial 16S ribosomal RNA". It matches the Rfam family "Bacterial small subunit ribosomal RNA", at positions 30 to 507 of the family's 1533-position model. The record is from RNAcentral.
AUUGAACGCUGGCGGCAGGCCUAACACAUGCAAGUCGAACGGUAACAGGAAGCAGCUUGCUGCUUUGCUGACGAGUGGCGGACGGGUGAGUAAUGUCUGGGAAACUGCCUGAUGGAGGGGGAUAACUACUGGAAACGGUAGCUAAUACCGCAUAACGUCGCAAGACCAAAGAGGGGGACCUUCGGGCCUCUUGCCAUCGGAUGUGCCCAGAUGGGAUUAGCUAGUAGGUGGGGUAACGGCUCACCUAGGCGACGAUCCCUAGCUGGUCUGAGAGGAUGACCAGCCACACUGGAACUGAGACACGGUCCAGACUCCUACGGGAGGCAGCAGUGGGGAAUAUUGCACAAUGGGCGCAAACCUGAUGCAGCCAUGCCGCGUGUAUGAAGAAGGCCUUCGGGUUGUAAAGUACUUUCAGCGGGGAGGAAGGGAGUAAAGUUAAUACCUUUGCUCAUUGACGUUACCCGCAGAAGAAGCACCGGCUAACUCCGUG